RNAcentral lists this ribosomal RNA (406 nucleotides) under uncultured bacterium. RNAcentral's name for it is "partial 16S ribosomal RNA". It matches the Rfam family "Bacterial small subunit ribosomal RNA", at positions 30 to 526 of the family's 1533-position model. The record is from RNAcentral.
AUUGAACGCUGGCGGCAGGCCUAACACAUGCAAGUCGGGCGAGUGGCGGACGGGUGAGUAAUGUAUGGGAAACUGCCUGAUGGAGGGGGAUAACUACUGGAAACGGUAGCUAAUACCGCAUACAAUCAGAUGAGCCCAUAUGGGAUUAGCUUGUGGGUGGGGUAACGGCUCACCUAGGCGACGAUCCCUAGCUGGUCUGAGAGGAUGAUCAGCCACACUGGGACUGAGAAACGGCCCAGACUCCUACGGGAGGCAGCAGUGGGGAAUAUUGCACAAUGGGCGCAAGCCUGAUGCAGCCAUGCCGCGUGUAUGAAGAAGGCCGUCGGGUUGUAAAGUACUUUCAGUAGGGAGGCGUUACCGACAGAAGAAGCACAGGCUAACUCCGUGCCAGCAGCCGCGGUAAUUC